UACAGAGGGGGCAAGCGUUGUUCGGAAUUACUGGGCGUAAAGGGCGCGUAGGCGGCCUUCUAAGUCGAACGUGAAAUCCCCGGGCUCAACCCGGGAACUGCGUCCGAUACUGGAAGGCUAGAAUCCGGGAGAGGGAUGCGGAAUUCCAGGUGUAGCGGUGAAAUGCGUAGAUAUCUGGAGGAACACCGGUGGCGAAGGCGGCGUUCUGGACUGCAACUGACACUGAGGAACGAAAGCCAGGGGAGCAAACGGG
RNAcentral lists this ribosomal RNA (253 nucleotides) under uncultured bacterium. RNAcentral's name for it is "partial 16S ribosomal RNA". It matches the Rfam family "Bacterial small subunit ribosomal RNA", at positions 524 to 776 of the family's 1533-position model. The record is from RNAcentral.